RNAcentral lists this small RNA (72 nucleotides) under Pseudomonas lini. RNAcentral describes it as "Pseudomonas sRNA P10". It matches the Rfam family "Pseudomonas sRNA P10". Lineage: Bacteria; Pseudomonadati; Pseudomonadota; Gammaproteobacteria; Pseudomonadales; Pseudomonadaceae. The record is from RNAcentral.
UGUCACAGACCCGACUGCCUGUCCUCUUCCUGGCCAUGGCGUUAAUCCCAUCGCUGCUGGUUCCCCCGAUGU